This 491-nucleotide ribosomal RNA is filed under the name uncultured bacterium. RNAcentral's name for it is "partial 16S ribosomal RNA". It matches the Rfam family "Bacterial small subunit ribosomal RNA", at positions 29 to 507 of the family's 1533-position model. The record is from RNAcentral.
AGUGAACGCUGGCGGUAGGCCUAACACAUGCAAGUCGAACGGCAGCACAGUAAGAGCUUGCUCUUACGGGUGGCGAGUGGCGGACGGGUGAGGAAUACAUCGGAAUCUACUUUUUCGUGGGGGAUAACGUAGGGAAACUUACGCUAAUACCGCAUACGACCUACGGGUGAAAGCAGGGGAUCUUCGGACCUUGCGCGAUUGAAUGAGCCGAUGUCGGAUUAGCUAGUUGGCGGGGUAAAGGCCCACCAAGGCGACGAUCCGUAGCUGGUCUGAGAGGAUGAUCAGCCACACUGGAACUGAGACACGGUCCAGACUCCUACGGGAGGCAGCAGUGGGGAAUAUUGGACAAUGGGGCAAGCCUGAUCCAGCCAUACCGCGUGGGUGAAGAAGGCCUUCGGGUUGUAAAGCCCUUUUGUUGGGAAAGAAAAGCAGCAGGUUAAUACCCCGCUGUUCUGACGGUACCCAAAGAAUAAGCACCGGCUAACUUCGUG